This 68-nucleotide transfer RNA is filed under the name Tympanoctomys barrerae (plains viscacha rat). RNAcentral describes it as "tRNA-Val". The record is from RNAcentral. Lineage: Eukaryota; Metazoa; Chordata; Mammalia; Rodentia; Octodontidae.
CAAAGUGUAGCUUAAAACAAAGCAUCCGGCCUACACCCGGAAGAUUUCAAAUAUCAUGACCACUUUGA